UUGCUCCUCUGACGUUAGCGGCGGACGGGUGAGUAACACGUGGAUAACCUACCUAUAAGACUGGGAUAACUUCGGGAAACCGGAGCUAAUACCGGAUAAUAUAUUGAACCGCAUGGUUCAAUAGUGAAAGACGGUUUUGCUGUCACUUAUAGAUGGAUCCGCGCCGCAUUAGCUAGUUGGUAAGGUAACGGCUUACCAAGGCAACGAUGCGUAGCCGACCUGAGAGGGUGAUCGGCCACACUGGAACUGAGACACGGUCCAGACUCCUACGGGAGGCAGCAGUAGGGAAUCUUCCGCAAUGGGCGAAAGCCUGACGGAGCAACGCCGCGUGAGUGAUGAAGGUCUUCGGAUCGUAAAACUCUGUUAUUAGGGAAGAACAAAUGUGUAAGUAACUAUGCACGUCUUGACGGUACCUAAUCAGAAAGCCACGGCUAACUACGUGCCAGCAGCCGCGGUAAUACGUAGGUGGCAAGCGUUAUCCGGAAUUAUUGGGCGUAAAGCGCGCGUAGGCGGUUUUUUAAGUCUGAUGUGAAAGCCCACGGCUCAACCCGUGGAGGGUCAUUGGAAACUGGAAAACUUGAGUGCAGAAGAGGAAAGUGGAAUUCCAUGUGUAGCGGUGAAAUGCGCAGAGAUAUGGAGGAACACCAGUGGCGAAGGCGACUUUCUGGUCUGUAACU
This 677-nucleotide ribosomal RNA is filed under the name Staphylococcus epidermidis. RNAcentral describes it as "bacterial SSU rRNA". It matches the Rfam family "Bacterial small subunit ribosomal RNA", at positions 80 to 741 of the family's 1533-position model. The record is from RNAcentral. Lineage: Bacteria; Bacillati; Bacillota; Bacilli; Caryophanales; Staphylococcaceae.